GCUUAACACAUGCAAGCCGAGGGGCAGCGGGGAGGAAGCUUGCUUUCUCCGCCGGCGACCGGCGCACGGGUGAGUAACACGUAUGCAACCUGCCCCUGUCAGGGGGACAACCCGCCGAAAGGCGGGCUAAACCCGCGUACAUGCCACCGGGGCAUCCCGGAGGCAGGAAAGGCUUCGGCCGGACAGGGAUGGGCAUGCGGCGCAUUAGGCAGUAGGCGGGGUAACGGCCCACCUAACCGACGAUGCGUAGGGGUUCUGAGAGGAAGGUCCCCCACACUGGUACUGAGACACGGACCAGACUCCUACGGGAGGCAGCAGUGAGGAAUAUUGGUCAAUGGUCGGGAGACUGAACCAGCCAAGCCGCGUGAGGGAUGAAGGUACAGAGUAUCGUAAACCUCUUUUGUCAGGGAACAAAGGCGGGGACGUGUCCCCGGAUGAGUGUACCAGAAGAAAAAGCAUCGGCUAACUCCGUGCCAGCAGCCGCGGUAAUACGGAGGAUGCGAGCGUUAUCCGGAUUUAUUGGGUUUAAAGGGUGCGCAGGCGGUCUGUUAAGUCAGCGGUCAAAGCCCGGGGCUCAACCCCGGCCCGCCGUUGAAACUGGCAGUCUCGAGUUGGAGAGAAGUAUGCGGAAUGCGCGGUGUAGCGGUGAAAUGCAUAGAUAUCGCGCAGAACUCCGAUUGCGAAGGCAGCAUGCCGGCUCCACACUGACGCUGAGGCACGAAAGCGUGGGUAUCGAACAGGAUUAGAUACCCUGGUAGUCCACGCAGUAAACGAUGAAUGCUGGCUGUCCGGGGGGGAUUGACCCCUGGGUGGCGAAGCGAAAGCGAUAAGCAUUCCACCUGGGGAGUACGCCGGCAACGGUGAAACUCAAAGGAAUUGACGGGGGCCCGCACAAGCGGAGGAACAUGUGGUUUAAUUCGAUGAUACGCGAGGAACCUUACCCGGGCUCAAACGGGGAGUGACUCAGGCAGAGACGCCUGUUUCCCACGGGACACUCCCCGAGGUGCUGCAUGGUUGUCGUCAGCUCGUGCCGUGAGGUGUCGGCUUAAGUGCCAUAACGAGCGCAACCCCCGCGUGCAGUUGCUAACAGAUAACGCUGAGGACUCUGCACGGACUGCCGGCGCAAGCCGCGAGGAAGGCGGGGAUGACGUCAAAUCAGCACGGCCCUUACGUCCGGGGCGACACACGUGUUACAAUGGGUGGUACAGCGGGAAGCCAGGCGGCGACGCCGAGCGGAACCCGAAAUCCACUCUCAGUUCGGAUCGGAGUCUGCAACCCGACUCCGUGAAGCUGGAUUCGCUAGUAAUCGCGCAUCAGCCAUGGCGCGGUGAAUACGUUCCCGGGCCUUGUACACACCGCCCGUCAAGCCAUGGGAGCCGAGGGCGCUUGAAGUG
RNAcentral lists this ribosomal RNA (1394 nucleotides) under uncultured bacterium. RNAcentral's name for it is "partial 16S ribosomal RNA". It matches the Rfam family "Bacterial small subunit ribosomal RNA". The record is from RNAcentral.